AAAUGGGUGAGGAAGAUGAAAGAUAUGAGAAAAGAGGGGAAAAAAUGGAGUUUUGGGGCAAAAAUCGCAUCUGGGCCCACCAAAAGACGGAUCUCCGCCUCUUCCCCGCGGCCGCGGCAUGAACCGCGGCUGAGAACGCGGCUGGAAGCAGGGGAGGCCGCGGUCAUGGGCCGCAGCCGCGGCUCGGACCGCGGGUGCCUGUCAAAAA
Molecule: long non-coding RNA, 208 nt
Filed under: Salvia miltiorrhiza (redroot sage)
Lineage: Eukaryota; Viridiplantae; Streptophyta; Magnoliopsida; Lamiales; Lamiaceae
Description: long non-coding RNA (SMIL_LNC012682)
Source: RNAcentral